UAGGAAUGUCCAGAAAGAGAAGUGUAUGACCCGUCUCCAGUAUCUCCAUUCAUCUGCUACUAUGAUGACAAAUAUGAAAUUCAGGAGAGAGAAAAGAGACUAAAACAAAAAAUAAAAGUACUCAAGAAAAAUGGGGUUAUCCCAGAGCCAUCCAAGCUACCUUAUAUAAAAGCAGCAAAUGAGAACCCCCACCAUGAUAUAAGGAAGGGCCGUGCCUCAUGGAAAAGCAACAGGUGGCCUCAAGAAAAUAAAGAAACACAAAAAGAAAUGAAGAACAAGAAUAGAAACUGGGAGAAGCACAGGAAGGCUGACAGACAUCGUGAAGUGGAUGAGGAUUUUCCCAGGGGCCCCAAAACCUACUCUUCUCCUGGCAGUUUUAAAACCCAGAAGCCUUCUAAGCCCUUUCACCGUUCAUCACAUUACCACACGUCAAGAGAAGACAAGUCUCCCAAGGAGGGCAAGAGGGGCAAGCAGAAGAAAAAGGAGAGGUGCUGGGAAGAUGAUGACAAUGAUAACUUAUUUCUUAUUAAGCAGAGAAAAAAAAAGUCUUAAGCCGUCAGGCAGCCUCUGAUGUGGCUUUUCAUUGUUCAUUUGGCCUUUGUGUCUAUAACCUUCUGGCAUUGUGUUUAUUAUCUAUGAUUAAAUAAAGUGAGUUUUUGGUUUUGUUUUUUUAAUUUCAGCCAUUCCUACAGUUACUGAAUAUCCAUGGAGAUCUCAAUUCUCUGUGUCCAACAGGAUAUUAGGUAAGAAAGUACAAAGAUAAACCUGG
This 769-nucleotide long non-coding RNA is filed under the name Pan troglodytes (chimpanzee). Its description in RNAcentral is "long non-coding RNA NONPTRT017474". The record is from RNAcentral. Lineage: Eukaryota; Metazoa; Chordata; Mammalia; Primates; Hominidae.